Long non-coding RNA from Vicia villosa (hairy vetch), 6997 nucleotides. RefSeq lists it as uncharacterized. The transcript has 2 exons. The record is from RefSeq and is a predicted model, not a curated record. NCBI's taxonomy places the organism in Eukaryota, Viridiplantae, Streptophyta, Magnoliopsida, Fabales, Fabaceae.
ACCACCGUAAACCGUAGCCUACGACAGUUUUGUCAACUGCCACCCUUCCCCUAUUUAAAGUCGUGACGGGUACUUCACCUGCCAUCCCCAAUAAAACCAUCCUAAAGCACAAUAAAACGCUAAAUACAUAAAAAUAUUUCCCUUUCUUCACCCCUGGGAUUCAAAGCUCAAAAUACUUCCUUCAACCUUUAAUUCAAAGCUCAAAAUACUUCCUUCAACCUUUAAUUCAAAGCUCAAAAUACUUCCUUCAACCUUUAAUUCAAAGCUCAAAAACUCCUCUCUCCACCAUAAUCAGUAAAUCAAAGCUCAAAAAUCCUUUGUUCUCCACCAACGAUUCUAAAAUUAAAAGAUUAAAAUCCCUUUCUUCAAUCUCCACCAAUAACAACAACACCAUUUGAAGAACGUCACCGAUUCGAAGAACCUUCAUGUUAUUGGCUUGACCAUUUGAAGAACGUCACCGAUUCAAAGGUAACUAACCGAUUCGAAGAACAUCACCGCCUUCGUUCCCUCUUCGUUCUUUGAAGCCCUGACUGAAGAGAAUCUUCUGUUUCUAAAGGCGUGGAGAACAUGCAUUGCGCUAUGAGCCCGUGAACAAUCGGAAGAGACGUGUAUGCCUUUGAUUUUCUACCUUUAACUCUAUUUUCUAAUUUGCUGAAUAAACACGGUGUUUUAUGAUGGUAGGUUAUUUAUGCUUUCAUCAUAGAAAAUCAUUUACCAUUGACUUUUAAGGAUUGAAUAAUGGAAUUACCAUAUUACUUUACCAUUGAAUAGUUUGAUGUUUGCUUCACGAGUAAAAACAGAGGCAUGGUAUCUUUUGGAAGGAAAUUCGUGAAAGAUGCUUCUUAUGAGUUCAUUGAUAACAUGGAAUUCAUCUCUCCAAGUCGACUUGUCGUUGUUCUCGCGUCAACUCCCCGAGGUGUCCUCAAAUCAACACUCAGAGUUGUCACCGCAACCAAGAGUCUCAUUUUUGACUCACAAUAACCAGGUUUGGUUGGUUUAAUGAUUUAAAAGACUUUAUUAUUCUUUAAUUUUUAGAUAGAGCUAACAUGCUUGUUCUAGACGAGAUAUUAAUCAUGUAUGGGUGAUUUCGUUUUCUAUAAAAUAGAGCUUGAACAUUAUAAGAAAUGUCCUUGUAUUUUAUGCGGUUGAGCUGUGUCAGGGCAUGAAUGCUGAAACAAAAAGGGUUGCUAAAUCUCUGUAUAAUAUGCAUGCUUCACAUAGUUUUAGCAUUUAUGAUCUGUCGAAAAUAAUGGCUUGUUUUUCAAAAUUGGCCGUGAGAAGAACAAAUGAUUUCAUGAUGGUCUAAAUUUAUAUGAUUACAUAAGCUAUCAACUUCUCUUGUUGAAUUAUUGGGGCAAAAAAAAACUAAUAUUUGAUUACUUAAUUAUCUUGAGAACAUUUUUUUCAUUCCCAAUAAUUGUAAAUUUCAUAACUGAAAUUCAUUAUUUGAGAGCACUUCAAUAUUCACACAACCUUGAGUUUAUUCCUUUUGACUACAAGCUAAGAGAAUAUACUGGUUAAAUGUCAUAAUAGGUGUGAGGCUGAACGCAUUGAUCACAGAAGUAUCUAUUUUGAGACAUGUAACCUUUUAUGAUAUACUCAUUAGUUUAGUGACCUGUUAGCAUGAUUGGUUUCAUUGUUAAAACGUUUUGCUAAUUACAUACUCCCUCUGUCUCAAAAUAAAUGUCACAUUUGAAAAAAAAAUUGUCCCAAAAUAAGUGUCACAAUCAACUUUUUAUCCAAAUAGUUCCAAUAUUACCCCUAAUAAUUAUUCUAUUUUAUUUUUGUAGGAUAGCUUUUUUUCAAGAUAUAAUUAAUGAAAAGGAAUAAAAAUGAACCUUGAGCAAUGCACGUAUUUAUUAUUUGUAGUCUUUACAUGUAAGGUACUAAUAACAUAGUUCAUUGUUUUUUGAUAUAGAGUAACGUUCAUUUUUUUGUUUCUAUAUAAUUAAAACAAAUUAUGAAAAGUAUACAGCAUCCUUACUCAUAGUUCUUGAAUUAAAUUGAAUAUGGAAAAAAAAUUAAUGAAAAUCAUGAAGUUGAAAGAGAUGCACUGUUGAAGCGGUAAAGCGGCAAGCAAAAAGUAAUAGGUAUUAUUUAUUACCGGGUGAUAUAGGUUAUAUCGUAUCGUAGUCCACAGAGAUUGGUGAGAUGAACUGCCGUUCGACUAUCUCGCGUUCUAAGUUUCAUGAUUUGGGUGCGGAAAGGUAAAUGCGGGAAAAGUAAAUAAAAGCAGAUAAACAAUCUCAAUAGUCUAAGAGAAAUAGUUAUGGAAUUGCAUUUCGUUCUACCCGUCGAAUACUUAAAUCUGAAGAUCUAUCGCUCGACACUCACAAUACGAAUCAACAUCACCGGGCAUCACUCGAGAUACCACAUCGGUGUCCAUGUCUGCAACACCGACGAAAGCUCAACCGUACUAUUCACAUCAGCGAUUUCUCCACCGACACAAACAACACGGAGGCAUUAGACUCGAUACCCACUACGAUUGUUAGUCCUGAAUCCAUGUCUGCAACCCAGAAACUAACAGUUAUCAUUCCUAAUCAAGAUCCAUGGUGUCCAUGUCUGCAACAACACAAAUCCAGAGCAUUUAAGCAAAAAGAUCAAGAACAACAACAAUGGUGAUUUGUAAAGAGAAUAUAUAAACGAUCCCAAGAUCCACAAAUAUACAUACAAUAAGAGUAGAAACAUACAUACAACACCCACCAUUGGAAUGAAACAAAGGGAAGAGAGAAGAUGAACUGGAAAGAUCUCACCGGUACAAUGAAAUCGAGUCAGAUCCAUGAUCAAUCCACUUGACGUCGCACCCAAUGGUGUUUCCUAAGCCUCUAAACUACUAAAAAAGGAUCAGAGCUCAACUUGUCAAGAAGAGGUGAUAAAAAAACCUAAAAAAUCUGUUAUUAACUAUUUAUACAAAACAGAGUUUCGCAGUGGGCGCGACGCGCCCUACUUCGGCGCGAUGCGCCCUUUAAAAAUUUAGCAAACCGCCCUCCGGCGCGACGCGCCCUAAUCCGGCGCGACGCGCCCUAACUUCUGCCAGACUAAGCUCUUCAAACUCAAAGAGGGCGCGACGCGCCCUACAGCGCGUGAAGCGCCCUGCACCAGAACAGCAGAAUUAUUUCCUCAAGGCUCUCGCAGCCGUGUCUUCGACACUUUAUUCCUCAAGGCUCCGAAAACGCAAGAAUACCUACAAAAAUACAACAAAACUAUCAAACGGUAUAAAAGUGUAUGAAAAUACAAGUAUUCGUAAAGUAAACGUAAUUACACAAAAACGGGAGAUUAUUCAAACGGUAUUAACAAAAAGCGUCGAUAAGUGCCACUAUUUACAUACACAAAAUAACUACAAUUUGGCACUUAACAACUCUCCCCAACUAGAAUUUGUUUGUCCUCAAACAAGGCCAAACACUCAAAUCGCAAAAGUAGAAAUCCAAAGAAUCAAAAAUCAACAACGUUUAGAAAAACGAAACAAUUGUACGGUUCAAAUAAAAACGCACAAACAAAGUAAACACUUACCACAAUCCUACAACGAACAUGAAAAUGAAACGAAUCCUAAGUACAAAAAUCAUAUAAAACAUUCUAAAACAAAACAAGCUCAAUCACGAAUUACGCCUAGCAAAAACUCAUCGGUAGAUGAAAAACACCGAAAGGUGAGGACUUUGACACACACCCGACAAACUUGCAAACAAAAGACAAAAUUAUGCAUUCAUCCAAAAAAUAGUAUCGAAAAUGCAACGGCACGAAUCACAAGGGCUUUAAAGGUUGUAAUGUGGCUCGGUUAACAAACAAAUGAUAAGUCCUAAAGCUAAUCGAAACAAAAACUUGCCUAAACCUAAGGGAGUAAUUACUUCCACAAAGUUUCAAACAAUAUAAUUUCAAUCAAAUUUCUUCUUUAUCACAAAUUGUCAAACCAAAACAUAAUACUUAUUAGCACAUUCUUAUUCAAAACUCUUUUUGUUCUUUUCUUUUUCAAGCUUUUCUCUUUUUUUCUUUCUUUUUCUUUUCUUUCUUUCUCUUUUUUUUUUCUUUUUCUUUUUCUUUUCUUAACCUCACAUCAAUCACAACAUAAAGAGGCAAACAUCUUCUCCCCAACUUGAAUUCAACCAUAACAUAAAGCGAAUACUCCCUACUUUCUAAGGCAAGGUAAAAAUCCAACUAAACAUCAUAGUUAAGGUCAAGAAAACAAAGAUAAUCAAAAUCCAUCAAAAAGGGUGAACUAUGUCUCAAGUUCAAAAACAAAAUGGACAAUUACAAAAAGGCUCAAAGGGGGUACGAAUGGUCACACACUCACAAGGUAAAAUGACAUUUGGCUUAUGGUAGUUGUGCUCAAAAUCAAACAAGUGCCUUGAUCACUUUCGUGCAUUCACAAAAUCGAUACAGACGAAAGAUUAAACAUAAUAAUAUCCAGUUAAAACAAGAAAUGUCGGUCACUCACAUAUAUACACAAUGGAAAGCCACCUCACAUUUAUGGUAAAAAAAGGGAAAAACUAAUUGUGAUUCAAGUCAUGAGCAAGUUAUGCAAAAAGAAUGGGUAAUAUGAAAUAUGUACAAAUGAAAAGUCUCCUAAACAUGCUAUGCUAUAGAAAGCGAUAAACGAGUACCUUGCAACGUACAAAUUCUAUCAAUCAUUACCGCACAACUGGCUUGUUGAAUCAAUCAAAAUCGAAGAAUUACCAAAUGCGACUCUAAGUAAUCGGGACAAAAUUUGAGUCUAAACACAAACAAAAGAAUUAAAAAUAAAUCGAUAAAAUACUAUACUAUAAAGCCUUGGUGUAAGUGGGAAAAAGGCGAGCCGAGUGACCCGUUAAAAAGAGGUCACUGGCCAAAAGCAACCCAGCGCGCGACGCACCCAUGAGCGCGCGACGCGCGCUACACCAGAAAAACCAGACCAGUCUAAAAAGACAGAUUUUCCAGUGAGCCACCACUUAACACCUACACAACUCAAUUACAGAAAAACAGAAAAAUAAAACCGUUGGGGUGCCUCCCAACAAGCGCUCGUUUAACGUCGUUAGCUCGACGCCUUUAUUGUUUCGCGAAUGGUAGGAAACUUCCUCGCGGUACGCCAAUGCUUUUGCCUCAAACGCAACCUAAAGAAAAUGACCUGCCCAAACACUUAAUCAAAACUAUACGAAACUUAAAACAUAAAACCAUCGCAAUGCGAUUAAUCUCAACCAAUCCCCGACAACGGCGCCAUUUUGUUGAAGCGGUAAAGCGGCAAGCAAAAAGUAAUAGGUAUUAUUUAUUACCGGGUGAUAUAGGUUAUAUCGUAUCGUAGUCCACAGAGAUUGGUGAGAUGAACUGCCGUUCGACUAUCUCGCGUUCUAAGUUUCAUGAUUUGGGUGCGAAAAGGUAAAUGCGGGAAAAGUAAAUAAAAGCAGAUAAACAAUCUCAAUAGUCUAAGAGAAAUAGUUAUGGAAUUGCAUUUCGUUCUACCCGUCGAAUACUUAAAUCUGAAGAUCUAUCGCUCGACACUCACAAUACGAAUCAACAUCACCGGGCAUCACUCGAGAUACCACAUCGGUGUCCAUGUCUGCAACACCGACGAAAGCUCAACCGUACUAUUCACAUCAGCGAUUUCUCCACCGACACAAACAACACGGAGGCAUUAGACUCGAUACCCACUACGAUUGUUAGUCCUGAAUCCAUGUCUGCAACCCAGAAACUAACAGUUAUCAUUCCUAAUCAAGAUCUAUGGUGUCCAUGUCUGCAACAACACAAAUCCAGAGCAUUUAAGCAAAAAGAUCAAGAACAACAACAAUGGUGAUUUGUAAAGAGAAUAUAUAAACGAUCCCAAGAUCCACAAAUAUACAUACAAUAAGAGUAGAAACAUACAUACAACACCCACCAUUGGAAUGAAACAAAGGGAAGAGAGAAGAUGAACUGGAAAGAUCUCACCGGUACAAUGAAAUCGAGUCAGAUCCAUGAUCAAUCCACUUGACGUCGCACCCAAUGGUGUUUCCUAAGCCUCUAAACUACCAAAAAAGGAUCAGAGCUCAACUUGUCAAGAAGAGGUGAUAAAAAAACCUAAAAAAUCUGUUAUUAACUAUUUAUACAAAACUGAGUUUCGCAGUGGGCGCGACGCGCCCUACUUCGGCGCGAUGCGCCCUUUAAAAAUUUAGCAAACCGCCCUCCGGCGCAACGCGCCCUAAUCCGGCGCGACGCGCCCUAACUUCUGCCAGACUAAGCUCUUCAAACUCAAAGAGGGCGCGACGCGCCCUACAGCGCGCGAAGCGCCCUGCACCAGAACAGCAGAAUUAUUUCCUCAAGGCUCUCGCAGCCGUGUCUUCGACACUUUAUUCCUCAAGGCUCUGAAAACGCAAGAAUACCUACAAAAAUACAACAAAACUAUCAAACGGUAUAAAAGUGUAUGAAAAUACAAGUAUUCGUAAAGUAAACGUAAUUACACAAAAACGGGAGAUUAUUCAAACGGUAUUAACAAAAAGCGUCGAUAAGUGCCACUAUUUACAUACACAAAAUAACUACAAUUUGACACUUAACAUGCACAUGAAGAUAAAGAAGAUUUUGAAGUUGAAAGAGUAGAGGAUUCUCUAGAUUUUGAAACAGGUGCAGAAGAAGUUAAAGAAGAUUUUGAAGAAGUUGAACAAGUGAAUGACUCGGGUGAAGAUAAUGAAGGUGUUGAAGUUGCUAUAGCAGAAGACAAUCCAAAUUUUGAGAGAGAAGAUGAAGAAAAUAAUGAAGAUAAUAACAUAGCACUCUUGAACAUUGAUUUAAAUGUGCUGGCACAUCCUGAUUUUGAUUUGAACGAAAUCCUUGAAGAAGAAGAUGAAGUAUUUCGAGAAAGAGGAGUAUUUGAUCCAGAAGCAGAAAUCAAAGAAGAGGUGAAGAAACUUAUAAAAAUAUGGGUUCCAAGAUUUUAAAUUUUUCAUAAUCGUGUAAUUUGGUUUUCAUUUUCUAUUGUUGCCAAGUUAUAAUUAAUCCUAUGAUUUUAAUUGUCUAUUUUUGCCAAGUUAUAAUUAUGAUUUUUAUUUCCUAUUUUUGCCAA